Molecule: ribosomal RNA, 624 nt
Filed under: Triticum aestivum (bread wheat)
Lineage: Eukaryota; Viridiplantae; Streptophyta; Magnoliopsida; Poales; Poaceae
Description: partial small subunit ribosomal RNA
Source: RNAcentral
GAUCAAGUUGAUUUGGUUUCUUACAUAACCGAAGAGAAUAAAAGAAGGAAGAGGAAAAGAAUUAUAUUGACAAAAUUAUACUUUGAAUCAAUUCUUCUUGGGAUGGCAUACCUUAGUUCAUUGAGAGCACCUCAUGGAUUAGGGAGUUUUAGUGAUGAUGAGCACAAACACUACCUUAGAAAGUACUUGCUGAAAGAUACAUAUGAUGGGUCUGAAGCUGCAUGCUAUGAUCAACUUCAUUUAACAAAAAGGAAUUUUCAUGAUUUGUGCAUCAUGUUGCGUGAGAAGUGUGGUGUACGGGACAUCGUGUAUGUUGUUGUGGAAGAAAAGGUUGCCAUGUUCUUGCUAGUAGUGGGCCAUGGACUGAAAAUGAGGUUGCUUCGAGGCACAUAUAAGUGAUGUUUGGGAACUAUUAGUACUCACUUUUCUGAGGUGUUAAGAGCCAUUCUAUCUUUGCAUGGGGAGUUCAUUAAGCUUCCUAAAGCUAAUGUACAACCUCCUGAUGAUUACAAAUAGAAGUGGUUUGGUGAUGCACUUGGAGCAUUAGAUGGUUGUCAUGUAGAUGUUUGUAUUCUUGUGGCUGCCCAAGGGAGGUAUAGGAAUAGGAAGCAAGUUGUUGAAUAA